This 253-nucleotide ribosomal RNA is filed under the name uncultured bacterium. RNAcentral's name for it is "partial 16S ribosomal RNA". It matches the Rfam family "Bacterial small subunit ribosomal RNA", at positions 524 to 776 of the family's 1533-position model. The record is from RNAcentral.
UACGUAGGUGGCAAGCGUUGUUCGGAAUUAUUGGGCGUAAAGGGCGCGUAGGCGGUUUGUUAAGUCGGUCGUGAAAGCCCGGGGCUCAACCCCGGAGGGUCGACCGAUACUGGCAGACUAGAGUACAGAAGAGGUAACUGGAAUUCCCGGUGUAGCGGUGAAAUGCGCAGAUAUCAGGAGGAACACCGGUGGCGAAGGCGGGUCUCUGGGCCGAUACUGACGCUGAGGAGCGAAAGCGUGGGGAGCAAACAGG